This 697-nucleotide long non-coding RNA is filed under the name Homo sapiens (human). RNAcentral's name for it is "novel transcript, antisense to SLC6A4". The record is from RNAcentral. Lineage: Eukaryota; Metazoa; Chordata; Mammalia; Primates; Hominidae.
GGUAAUAAAAUGGGAAAUUGCUAAACACACAUCCAUCUUCUGAGCGGUGCUAUCUUAAGUCUAGGUGGAAGCCUUCAAAACAGGAACCUGGUCAAUUGCAAACCUUCCUCCUAACCCAGGCUCCUCAUCCCCAGAGCCGGCUAUGAAGAAAGAUGGUUUGGGAACAGGGAAAGAAGAUCUGGUUAGGAGCCAUCCCGGCUGCUUGUCUCUUAAUGUCAGUAAAGACAGGGUUUCGCCAUGUUGCCCAGGCUGGUCUUGAACUCCUGACCUCAAGGGAUCCACCUGCCUCGGCCUCCCAAAAUGCUGGGAUUACAGGUGUGAACCACUGCACCCAGCUGUUUUGAAAGGGGACACAGAACAGCUGGAUGCCAAAGAGAUGUCCUAAAACAAAAUGGGAUAGCCCAUAUACUCCUAAUAGGCUGGAGGUGGACUGAAGGAAGAAUCUAACAACAUUUCUGGCUCUAAAAGACAAAAAAAAAAAAAAAAACACAAAAAAAACAAAGUUACAGAUAAAUGAAAGAACUGAAGAAUAGUGCCUGCUGGUGUGCAUGACAUCAGUUUACCCCAGGCUACUUCAGCACACACUUGGCAGGCCAGCAGGCUGUUAUCCAUCUUGGACAGGGGCACGUGAACCAAGGACAAAGUGAAUAUUGAACACAUCUCAACACGUGGACAACCCUUGGGACUCAACUUUCUC